CCGCCAGAGAACUACAAGUGAAAAACUUGAAACUCAAAGGACUUGACGGUGUCCCAUAUCGACCUAGAGGAGCCUGUCCUAUAAUCGAUACCCCCCGUUCUACCCAACCCCAACUAGCAAAGUAUCAGCCUAUAUACCGCCGUCGACAGUUUACUCUAUGAAGACCUAAUAGUAGACACAAUAGCCUUAACGCUAAUACGUCAGGUCAAGGUGUAGUAGAUGUUGGGGAAGAGAUUGGCUACAUUUUUUAUAAUAAAAAACACGAAUUGCACUAUGAAACACUGCAUGAAGGUGAAUUUAGUAGUAAAAC
This 310-nucleotide ribosomal RNA is filed under the name Podarcis peloponnesiacus (Peloponnese wall lizard). Its description in RNAcentral is "partial 12S ribosomal RNA". It matches the Rfam family "Bacterial small subunit ribosomal RNA", at positions 869 to 1344 of the family's 1533-position model. Lineage: Eukaryota; Metazoa; Chordata; Lepidosauria; Squamata; Lacertidae. The record is from RNAcentral.